GCAGUGUAUGUAAAAAUCAAAUCUUACAUUGAACCCGUUCUAAUUUCUAUGAACCAGAGAAGUGUUAAUUGUGCCACAAAAUACGAAUAUUUCAAAACAACAAUCAUUACAAAUAUUAGCAUUUUGGACGGAGAUUUACAGCAGUACGAGCAAUGUACUGUUCUCAUCCGAAUUACGUGAGUUGAAAACCUAACAGUAACCUAAUCAAUCCAAAAUGCUAAUAUUUGUAUCAGUGCAUUGAUGAUUUUCACAUUUGUACUUUAAAUUUUAUAAUAAU
RNAcentral lists this unclassified non-coding RNA (277 nucleotides) under Hevea brasiliensis (rubber tree). Lineage: Eukaryota; Viridiplantae; Streptophyta; Magnoliopsida; Malpighiales; Euphorbiaceae. The record is from RNAcentral.